RNAcentral lists this ribosomal RNA (497 nucleotides) under uncultured bacterium. RNAcentral describes it as "partial 16S ribosomal RNA". It matches the Rfam family "Bacterial small subunit ribosomal RNA", at positions 28 to 507 of the family's 1533-position model. The record is from RNAcentral.
GAUGAACGCUGGCGGCGUGCCUAAUACAUGCAAGUCGAGCGAACAGACGAGGAGCUUGCUCCUCUGACGUUAGCGGCGGACGGGUGAGUAACACGUGGAUAACCUACCUAUAAGACUGGGAUAACUUCGGGAAACCGGAGCUAAUACCGGAUAAUAUAUUGAACCGCAUGGUUCAAUAGUGAAAGACGGUUUUGCUGUCACUUAUAGAUGGAUCCGCGCCGCAUUAGCUAGUUGGUAAGGUAACGGCUUACCAAGGCAACGAUGCGUAGCCGACCUGAGAGGGUGAUCGGCCACACUGGAACUGAGACACGGUCCAGACUCCUACGGGAGGGCGCAGUAGGGAAUCUUCCGCAAUGGGCGAAAGCCUGACGGAGCAACGCCGCGUGAGUGAUGAAGGUCUUCGGAUCGUAAAACUCUGUUAUUAGGGAAGAACAAAUGUGUAAGUAACUAUGCACGUCUUGACGGUACCUAAUCAGAAAGCCACGGCUAACUACGUG